AACGCACAUUGCACCCCUUGGUACUCCGGGGGGUAUGCCUGUUCGAGCGUCAUUAUGACCUCUCCAGCCUAGCUGGGUCUUAGGCCUCGCUAUGUGGCGGGUCUUAAAAGCAGUGGCGGUGCCUCUAGGCUCUGCGCGUAGUAAAUUGUCUCGCGAUAGGGCUCUAGGGGUCGCUAGCCAUCAACCUAAACUCUCAAGGUUGACCUCGGAUCAGGUAGGGAUACCCGCUGAACUUAA
This 237-nucleotide unclassified non-coding RNA is filed under the name uncultured fungus. RNAcentral describes it as "sequence contains ITS2". The record is from RNAcentral. Lineage: Eukaryota; Fungi.